GAGCGUAUAACUCAGUGGUAGAGUGCGUGCUUAGCAUGCAUGAGGUCCUGGGUUCAAUCCCCAGUACCUCCA
This 72-nucleotide transfer RNA is filed under the name Camelus bactrianus (Bactrian camel). It matches the Rfam family "tRNA". From Rfam's summary of the family: Transfer RNA (tRNA) molecules are approximately 80 nucleotides in length. Their secondary structure includes four short double-helical elements and three loops (D, anti-codon, and T loops). RNAcentral also lists the same sequence under 2 other names. The record is from Rfam by way of RNAcentral. Lineage: Eukaryota; Metazoa; Chordata; Mammalia; Artiodactyla; Camelidae.